AGACCCCAAAAUUAGUUGUUUAAUACAAGACCAGUUUAUUUCUUGCUAUUCCAAACCUAUUAAAGAUGUUCCCGCCCUGCAGGUGGCCUGCUACAUGGUCCUUCAGAAACCAAACUCCUUCCAUAUUACAGCCCUGUCCUCCUCUAGAUCCUCAGUCCUUUCCAGCGUGGUCCAGUUGUUGAGGAAAGGGUUGGAGGGUUGCCAUGGGGGGUUUGCCGGUGCCAGGUCUGGAAGUGGUGCAUGUCCGUUCUACUCAUACUUCACUAGCUGGAGCUCAGACAAAUGACCACAGGAAGGCUGGUAAAUAUGGUUGAGAGGUUUUCCUGUUGGUUGCUCAAAAAGUAAAUAGCAAAAAUAUGUGUCUCUAUGUAAACAUAUUUUCUGAAAUUGGGUCAAAAGGAUCAAUGACUAGUUUGUGGUGUGUGAGUCCUGUGGACGAUGUGUGUACUGACCAUUCAUGCUUCCAGAGCUUCCUUUCUGUUGAUCAGGGAUUACGGGAAUGAUGUUUUAGAAAUUUGGUCACCUGGUUUGUAAAGUAAGGUCUUCCUGGGCAGAGUUUUGCUUUUCCCUUUGUCUUCUGAGGUAGAUUUAUAGGCAGCUCUUGUUAUUUACACUAAAGGAAGGAGGAGAGAGAGAGAUUUUAUACCUCCUGGAAUUCACUCUGCCGUGUGGCUGAUUAUGUCCGGAACCCAUUGAUAAUUCCUCAUGUCAACGUUGGGAAUGCAAGCACAGACAACACCUAAACAGAGGCCAGCCUGCCUUUUCUUGGAGGUGGGCCAAGGAAUGGUUAUGGGAGCGUGAAAGCUCUUCUCACAAUUCUAGUUCUUCCCCAGUGCAUGGAGUAAUGGAAGGGCCCCAGCAUUCUAUACAUAUGAAUUUUGAAGGGAAUUUACUGAAUAUCUAAUACUAUACUCUCAAGUUACAUAUUAGGAAUGGCUUAAGUGACCAGCUCAACUUCAUGCAGUUAAUGACCAGGAGACUCAUGAUUAUUUUAUUCCUCCUCAUUUUUCAUGUUCUUCAAACACCAAGUUCGAAUUUUUGUCGUGAUGCAAGAAGGCUAAAGGCUUUGAUAUGGUAAUGCCUCUUUCCAAAGGCAUGAUCCAUGAAAGAAAGCCAUAUGAUCCAGCAAUCUUGCUCCUUGGUAUUUGCCCAAAGGAGUCAAAAAACAUGUCCGCAUAAAAACCUGCAAAGUCUAUAUACCGUAUGAUUUCAACUGUACGGCAUUCUGGAAAAGACAAAAAGUAGGAAUAUACAGCAAACAACAUGUAGUUAAAAUAUAGAAAACAAUCACAGACAGAACUGUGUGGACAAGUAGGUAAAUUAACAAUUAUAGUUUGAGAAUUUAUUAUACUUACCUCAGAAAUUGAAAAUAAUAUCCAUAAAAUAGCAAAAUAUAGAUCUGGUGAAUAUCACCAAACAACUGAAGCCAACUGAUAUACGUCAGCCUAUAUAUCCAUCCAUUAUGGUCCUUCUCUGCAGCUGCUGAGAGUCAUUUAGGAUGCUGGCCACCUGGUACCUGCUCCCCCAUUGUGCCCUUAUAGUCCUGAGUUUUGGGAUAUCCCUGAGUUCUUCAUUGAUCACUGGGGCAUGACCAGCCUUUCAAGAAGCCUUGGCCUUGCCUGAAAGUACUAUAGCAGCAGCAUCUGUGCAAAUGU
RNAcentral lists this long non-coding RNA (1655 nucleotides) under Homo sapiens (human). RNAcentral describes it as "long non-coding RNA NONHSAT150170.1". Lineage: Eukaryota; Metazoa; Chordata; Mammalia; Primates; Hominidae. The record is from RNAcentral.